This 465-nucleotide ribosomal RNA is filed under the name uncultured Klebsiella sp. RNAcentral's name for it is "bacterial SSU rRNA". It matches the Rfam family "Bacterial small subunit ribosomal RNA", at positions 338 to 795 of the family's 1533-position model. Lineage: Bacteria; Pseudomonadati; Pseudomonadota; Gammaproteobacteria; Enterobacterales; Enterobacteriaceae. The record is from RNAcentral.
CCUACGGGAGGCAGCAGUGGGGAAUAUUGCACAAUGGGCGCAAGCCUGAUGCAGCCAUGCCGCGUGUGUGAAGAAGGCCUUCGGGUUGUAAAGCACUUUCAGCGGGGAGGAAGGCGUUAAGGUUAAUAACCUUGUCGAUUGACGUUACCCGCAGAAGAAGCACCGGCUAACUCCGUGCCAGCAGCCGCGGUAAUACGGAGGGUGCAAGUGUUAAUCGGAAUUACUGGGCGUAAAGCGCACGCAGGCGGUCUGUCAAGUCGGAUGUGAAAUCCCCGGGCUCAACCUGGGAACUGCAUUCGAAACUGGCAGGCUAGAGUCUUGUAGAGGGGGGUAGAAUUCCAGGCGUAGCGGUGAAAUGCGUAGAGAUCUGGAGGAAUACCGGUGGCGAAGGCGGCCCCCUGGACAAAGACUGACGCUCGGGUGCGAAAGCGUGGGGAGCAAACAGGAUUAGAUACCCGGGUAGUC